RNAcentral lists this transfer RNA (78 nucleotides) under Cordylochernes scorpioides. RNAcentral describes it as "tRNA-Thr". The stretch from base 12 to 67 matches the Rfam family "tRNA", at positions 10 to 63 of the family's 71-position model. From Rfam's summary of the family: Transfer RNA (tRNA) molecules are approximately 80 nucleotides in length. Their secondary structure includes four short double-helical elements and three loops (D, anti-codon, and T loops). The record is from RNAcentral. Lineage: Eukaryota; Metazoa; Arthropoda; Arachnida; Pseudoscorpiones; Chernetidae.
GUUUUAUCAUUGCUUAGUGGACAUGGCAUCUGCCCGGUAAGCAGAACACUGUGGGUUCGAUUCCCAUCCCUGAACACU